GUCAGUAGUUUAAUAUUACCUCUGGCCACACAUUCUCAUCCCUGCGGGCAGUAUUUACACUGCUCAAAUGCCUAUAUAGGUAAAUUGUUUUCCAUGAGCACUCAAUCUUGGAUACUUGGAUUUGAACUCUGGGCUGUGUCCUGAGUUGAAUCCGCACUUGUUUUCCAAGCUUACUCACAAAGUGUAGACCUGAAGAGAGCACUUGCUGGACUUAAAACUAUUUGCAACGUGUGCUGAGACAGUAAUUAUAUUCAUCCUUGGAAUGCAAAACCUCAUUCCAGUGGAGGACACAACAAAGCAAAUUCAAGGUGACGAGUGAUAGGAUGCAAAGAAAUUGAGAAGGUCAGGAAGAUACCCACACUGAACUUUCCAAUGACUGCUUCUGUUCUUGCUGCUGACCAGGAACACCUCAGCCUGAAGCAGCAGUGAAACAGGAGAUCUUGUGAGAAAGAGGAAUAGAAGCUGUUCUGUUUUUGUGGAAGUGGAUACAAGAGGACAUCUAUAGAACAGAAGCAAGCAUGAAAAGAAUGACAGAGAAUGGCAGAGGAAAUGAGGUUCCAUCUAUUUAUUUCAAGAAACAAUAAAAUUCAAUUACAGCAAAUGCUG
This is a long non-coding RNA of Lagopus muta (rock ptarmigan), 606 nucleotides long. RefSeq lists it as uncharacterized. The record is from RefSeq and is a predicted model, not a curated record. NCBI's taxonomy places the organism in Eukaryota, Metazoa, Chordata, Aves, Galliformes, Phasianidae. The transcript is spliced from 5 exons.